Taeniopygia guttata (zebra finch) is the source of this 1973-nucleotide long non-coding RNA. The record is from Ensembl. Lineage: Eukaryota; Metazoa; Chordata; Aves; Passeriformes; Estrildidae.
GGGACACCCUGGGGACAUUGUGGCCUUGGUGACACCCUUGGGGACACCCUGGGGACACCCUGGGGACGUUGUGGCCCUGGUGACACCCUUGGGGACACCCCGGGGACGCCCUUGGGGACAUCUCCGGGGACGUUGUGGCCUUGGGGACACCCUUAGGGACACCCUGGGGACAUUCCCGGGGACAUUGUGGCCUUGGGGACACCCUUGGGGACACCCUGGGGACAACCCUGGAGACAUUGUGGCCUUGGGGACACCCUGGGCCAGUCCCGCGUUACCAUGGCAACCACAACGCGCCAUCUUAACUCCGGGCACGCGUACCCUUUCCUGCCAACCACUUCCGCCCCCCUCAGCCAAUCACAACCUCCCGCCUUCCCCACGUGACUCCCGGUAACCGAACAGGGAAGCGCCGCCGUUACCGACCCUACCGGAGCCCGUGACUCGCCCGCGGCCUCAGCAGCGUUGGCGACACCCCCGGGGACACUUUGGGGACACUUUGGGGACAAUUUGGGGAGUCACGAGCCCGCUGCAGCCACGUUGCCAUGGAAACAACCCCAACGCCGCGGCCGCCAUAUUUGACAUCUUGGCACCGCCGCCAUCUUAACUUUGGGCAUAACUUCCGCCCUCUCCGCCAAUCACAACCUCCCGUUCUCCCCACGUGACUCCCGGUAACCGAACAGGGAAGCGCCGCCGUUACGGACCCUACCGGGGCCCGUGACUCGCCCGCGGCCUCAGCAGCGUUGGCGACACCCCCGGGGACACUUUGGGGACAAUUUGGGGAGUCACGAGCCCGCUGGAGCCACGUUGCCAUGGAAACAACCCCAACGCCGCGGCCGCCAUACUUGACAUCUUGGCACCGCCGCCAUCUUAACUUUGGGCAUAACUUCCGCCCUCUCCGCCAAUCACAACCUCCCGUUCUCCCCACGUGACCCCCGGUACGGCCGAACCCGGAAGUGCCGCCGCCGCCAUGGAUCCCGCCGCUCCCCCCCCAAAACGCCGCGGGCCCGCCCGCUUGGCCGAUCCGCGGCCUCUGUUCGAGGACACGAGCGCUACCGGGGCCUCACCGGGCCGCGGCUUCGGGGCUCCGCCGCCGCCGCCUUCGGCCUCGGCCGCCGCCGCCUCCUCCUCCUCGGCCGCGUUCGGGGCGCCCGCGGCGUUCCUGAGCGAGCCCGUGAGCUCCCUGGCCGCGGCCUACGGGAGCAGCCUCGCCUCGCACGUGGAGGGCAACGUGAGCGACCGGGGAUAACGGGAAUAACCGGGGAUAACCGGGAAUAACGGGGGGAUAACCGGGAAUAACGGGGGGAAUAACUGCGGAAAAAACUGGGAAUAACGGGGGGGAAAACGGGGGGAAAUAACGGGAGAUAACGGGGAAAUAACCGGGAAUAAUGGGGGGGAAUAACGGGGGGAAUAACCGGGAAUAACGGGGGGAAUAACCGGGGGAUAACCGGGAAUAACGGGGGGGGGGGAUAACUGGGGAAAAAACUGGGAAUAACGGGGGGAUAACCGGGGGGAUAACCGGGAAUAACGGGGAAAAAUGGGGGAGAAUAACCGGGAAUAAUGGGGGGGAUAACCGGGAAUAAUGGGGGAAUAACCGGGAAUAACGGGGGGAUAACUGGGGAAAAAACUGGGAAUAACGGGGGGAAAAACGGGGGGAAAUAACGGGAGAUAAUGGGGAAAUAACCGGGAAUAACGGGGGGGAUAACCGGGAAUAACGGGGAAUAAUGGGGGGAAAUAACCGGGAAUAACGGGGGGAGAUAACGGGGGGGAUAACCGGGAAUAACCGGGAAUAACAGGGGGGAUAACGGGGGGGAAUAACGGGAGAUAACGGGGGGAAUAACCGGGAAUGAUGGGGGGAAAUAACCGGGAAUAACGGGGGGGAUAACGGGGGAAAUAACCGGGAAUAAUGAGGGGAAUAACCGGGGAUAACGGGGGGGAUAACCGGGAGUAACGGGGGGGAAUAACCGGGGAUAACGGGG